This 1434-nucleotide ribosomal RNA is filed under the name uncultured organism. Its description in RNAcentral is "16S ribosomal RNA". It matches the Rfam family "Bacterial small subunit ribosomal RNA". The record is from RNAcentral.
CAGGCUUAACACAUGCAAGUCGAGGGGCAGCAUGGUCUUAGCUUGCUAAGGCCGAUGGCGACCGGCGCACGGGUGAGUAACACGUAUCCAACCUGCCGUCUACUCUUGGACAGCCUUUUGAAAGGAAGAUUAAUACAAGAUGGCAUCAUGAGUCCGCAUGUUCACAUGAUUAAAGGUAUUCCGGUAGACGAUGGGGAUGCGUUCCAUUAGAUAGUAGGCGGGAUAACGGCCCACCUAGUCUUCGAUGGAUAGGGGUUCUGAGAGGAAGGUCCCCCACAUUGGAACUGAGACACGGUCCAAACUCCUACGGGAGGCAGCAGUGAGGAAUAUUGGUCAAUGGGCGAGAGCCUGAACCAGCCAAGUAGCGUGAAGGAUGACUGCCCUAUGGGUUGUAAACUUCUUUUAUAAAGGAAUAAAGUCGGGUAUGGAUACCCGUUUGCAUGUACUUUAUGAAUAAGGAUCGGCUAACUCCGUGCCAGCAGCCGCGGUAAUACGGAGGAUCCGAGCGUUAUCCGGAUUUAUUGGGUUUAAAGGGAGCGUAGAUGGAUGUUUAAGUCAGUUGUGAAAGUUUGCGGCUCAACCGUAAAAUUGCAGUUGAUACUGGAUAUCUUGAGUGCAGUUGAGGCAGGCGGAAUUCGUGGUGUAGCGGUGAAAUGCUUAGAUAUCACGAAGAACUCCGAUUGCGAAGGCAGCCUGCUAAGCUGCAACUGACAUUGAGGCUCGAAAGUGUGGGUAUCAAACAGGAUUAGAUACCCUGGUAGUCCACACGGUAAACGAUGAAUACUCGCUGUUUGCGAUAUACUGCAAGCGGCCAAGCGAAAGCGUUAAGUAUUCCACCUGGGGAGUACGCCGGCAACGGUGAAACUCAAAGGAAUUGACGGGGGCCCGCACAUGCGGAGGAACAUGUGGUUUAAUUCGAUGAUACGCGAGGAACCUUACCCGGGCUUAAAUUGCAGAUGAAUUACGGUGAAAGCCGUAAGCCGCAAGGCAUCUGUGAAGGUGCUGCAUGGUUGUCGUCAGCUCGUGCCGUGAGGUGUCGGCUUAAGUGCCAUAACGAGCGCAACCCUUGUUGUCAGUUACUAACAGGUUCCGCUGAGGACUCUGACAAGACUGCCAUCGUAAGAUGUGAGGAAGGUGGGGAUGACGUCAAAUCAGCACGGCCCUUACGUCCGGGGCUACACACGUGUUACAAUGGGGGGUACAGAGGGCCGCUACCACGCGAGUGGAUGCCAAUCCCCAAAACCUCUCUCAGUUCGGACUGGAGUCUGCAACCCGACUCCACGAAGCUGGAUUCGCUAGUAAUCGCGCAUCAGCCACGGCGCGGUGAAUACGUUCCCGGGCCUUGUACACACCGCCCGUCAAGCCAUGGGAGCCGGGGGUACCUGAAGUGCGUAACCGCGAGGAGCGCCCUAGGGUAAAACUGGUGACUGGGGC